This 231-nucleotide ribosomal RNA is filed under the name uncultured bacterium. RNAcentral's name for it is "partial 16S ribosomal RNA". It matches the Rfam family "Bacterial small subunit ribosomal RNA", at positions 118 to 350 of the family's 1533-position model. The record is from RNAcentral.
UGGGCAACCUGCCCUCAGCUCUGGGAUAACCCCGGGAAACCGGGGCUAAUACCGGAUACGACCUCCGCGGGCAUCUGCGGAGGUGGAAAGGUCUUCCGGCUGAGGAUGGGCCCGCGGCCUAUCAGCUUGUUGGUGGGGUGACGGCCCACCAAGGCGACGACGGGUAGCCGGCCUGAGAGGGUGACCGGCCACACUGGGAUUGAGACACGGCCCAGACUCCUACGGGAGGCA